Molecule: long non-coding RNA, 1828 nt
Filed under: Daucus carota (carrot)
Lineage: Eukaryota; Viridiplantae; Streptophyta; Magnoliopsida; Apiales; Apiaceae
Description: long non-coding RNA (DCAR_LNC000955)
Source: RNAcentral
CUGCUUCUUAGAGCAUACUACCAGAGCAAAGAAACAAAGACAAUUCUCAUCACUUUCACUAAAGACCGGCUUUACUAUUGUUAUUCUUGAUCAGCCUGCUUUGGACACUCCAGAACAACUCCCACAUGCACUUUGCAACUUUUCAUGCCCACCAACUUCAUGAGUAUUCAAAAAAUUUGAAUCCCUAGCUGCUAAUCAUCUCAUCCCUGGUGAAACCAGUUUCCUCAGCAACCACCUAUCAACUUCUUUGUGUAUAUUGCAUUCACAAAGAUUGAUAAAGUCAAUGAGCAAAACAAACAAUUUGCAUCCUAAUAGUACAGCUCCAUACAGAUUGCACAAAGAAGUUUCAGACAGAAAAGAUAUAUGGUUCAACCUUACGAACAAAACAUAAUUACUACUAACCACCAGAUCUUAACAAUAAAUAUAUUUUAACUUUACCGAUCAAUAGAAUACAUAACUAAUAUAGAUUAAAUCUGUUUAAUUUUUUUUCCUGAAAACUAUAGAUUUUAUAUUAAAAUAAUCGUCUGCAUAAGAAAAGUUUUGCGAGGAACAACUAUAGUCAAAUUGACAUGUCGAAUCCAUGUUGUGAUAAUCUUCAUAUUUUUUAUGAUUGUGUAAUGGAUCACCCAAAUAUGUAUCAUUAACUGGAAGAUAUCAAUAAAAGAUCAUUAAUAAUCAAUAUUAAGCACCUAAUGAAGUCGAAUUUAAACUUUACAGUAAACAACCUGCUUCAUGGUUGUCGGAGUUCCUGACAAAAUUCUACUUUGAUUACUAAUACGAUGAUAUGAAAGUAUGAAAAGUUAAAGAAUGAAAAUCAUAACUUUUCUGGAAUCCCAUUACAAUUAUGACGAAAUUAUGAUUAUCCAUAUUCUGGAUGAGAUUACUAUCUCAAGAUUAAAUGUGUACCAUGUUUUGAAGAUAGUGAAAUCUGGUUACAUAUUGCAGGUUUCUUGAUAGCUACAAAUCAAAAGAAGUAUUCAAGUUGGAUUAGAGAAAUCAGCGUACAUAAUAUAAUACAAUCUAAAGCACUGAAAAUGAUAUUGCAACCCGAACUGUAUCACCUGCCAACUUUUCAUUCGGAAUAUGUACCAAAAACAUUAUAUCUGUGAUUUGAUACAUAUCGGGUGUGCUUGUAAUCAGGAACCCGUGGAUCCUUGCACAAUUAAUCAAAUAAGAAUGGAGAAGAAAUUAUAUGAAAAUGGAGAAAAAACUGAAUACAUACCAACAAAGAAGAUGAUUAGGACUUCGAUUCUUUAAAUUUUGAAUUUCAAACUGAAAUCUUUGCAAGAGAACAUUGCAAUCCUUCACAUGAACACAUUAAGAGUACUAACCAAAUCAAUUCCUUUCCAUGUAACCACUAUCAUUCCGAUUUAAGGAAUUCAUGGGAUGCCUAUCAGGUGUCACCUUGCAACCACUAUCAUUCCGAUUUAUCCUAGAUGCUGGUAGCGGGAAACAAUUGACGUUGCUGCUACCAACUGAUCUUUGCUGGAGAAGUCUUGUAAGCGGACUCAAGUAGCUAAAACCUGCUAAAAACAAUUUUUAAUAAACUAAGCUGAAAAAAUUCUGAGAACUUAUUUUUACUAAUAUAUGCCAGUCGUAUAUAGUGAAUAACCUGAAAAGUCUUCCUACAAAAGUAAUUUUUUUAUAUUUUUUUCAGGAAGUGUUUUCCUUCUCUCUCAUUUCUCUUUAUAAUUUUAAAACAAUAGACAUUGAUGUAGUAUACCUAAUGAUUACAAAUUGAAGUCUGUUUGGGGAAGCUAUCACUUUAAGAUUCACCCUAUUGUUAUACCAGGAAUACUCUGAGUUUUCUUGUCAAAUCCAUCCUCUG